This is a long non-coding RNA of Bos taurus (domestic cattle), 522 nucleotides long. NCBI's taxonomy places the organism in Eukaryota, Metazoa, Chordata, Mammalia, Artiodactyla, Bovidae. The record is from Ensembl.
UGAGGGGCAGUGGAGCCCGAGCCAGCCUGUGGCUUCAUCAUCCACACCUUCAGUGUCCCCGGGGGCUCUCCUGACAUCUUGACGUCAGCACAGUCCCUCUUCUGCAUAAGCCACGUGGAGGAGGCUACAGCUGCCUUCAGACAUCGAAGAGGGGAACCCCCAGAAGCCCAAGGGUGCGGUCUGUGGUCAGGGCAGCGAAUGGCCCCCGGGAGGCUGCACUCUGGGCUCUGGUCCUGGCGGCAUGAUCAACUUUCUGGGCGACCUCGGACAAGUCACUCUCCCUCUCUGAACUUUAGUGUCCUCAUCUAUAAAGCGAGUGCACUGGUCUAAGACCCCAGCCAGGUCUUAGCUGCAGCCCUCGGAACCUUUAGUUGUGGCGUUCAAACUCCUGAUUGCGGCAUGUGGGAUCUAGUUCCCUGACCGGGAACCAAACCCCAGGCCUCCUGCAUUGGGAGGACAGAGUCUUAGCCUCCAGGCCCCCAUGGAAGUCCCUCAAUUAUUAAAAAAUAAGAAAUCAUCUGA